RNAcentral lists this ribosomal RNA (520 nucleotides) under uncultured Glomus. Its description in RNAcentral is "SSU rRNA". It matches the Rfam family "Eukaryotic small subunit ribosomal RNA", at positions 569 to 1093 of the family's 1831-position model. The record is from RNAcentral. Lineage: Eukaryota; Fungi; Glomeromycota; Glomeromycetes; Glomerales; Glomeraceae.
AGCAGCCGCGGUAAUUCCAGCUCCAAUAGCGUAUAUUAAAGUUGUUGCAGUUAAAAAGCUCGUAGUUGAAUUUCGGGAUCAAAUUGUUGGUCGUGCUUCGGUACGCACUGGCAUUAUUGGUUCCUACCUUCUGAAGAACCGCGAUGUCAUUAAUUUGGUGUCGUGGGGAAUCAGGACUGUUACUUUGAAAAAUUAGAGUGUUUAAAGCAGGCUUACGCUUGAAUACAUUAGCAUGGAAUAAUGAAAUAGGACGUUUGAUUCUAUUUUGUUGGUUUCUAGGAUCGACGUAAUGAUUAAUAGGGAUAGUUGGGGGCAUUAGUAUUCAAUUGUCAGAGGUGAAAUUCUUGGAUUUAUUGAAGACUAACUACUGCGAAAGCAUUUGCCAAGGAUGUUUUCAUUAAUCAAGAACGAAAGUUAGGGGAUCGAAGACGAUCAGAUACCGUCGUAGUCUUAACCAUAAACUAUGCCGACUAGGGAUCGGAUGAUGUUAAUUUUUAAUGACUCAUUCGGCGCCUUAACC